UACGUAGGGGGCUAGCGUUGUCCGGAUUUAUUGGGCGUAAAGAGCGUGUAGGCGGCCAGGUAGGUCUGCUGUGAAAACUCGAGGCUCAACCUCGAGACGUCGGCGGAAACCAGCUGGCUAGAGUCCGGAAGAGGAGAGUGGAAUUCCUGGUGUAGCGGUGAAAUGCGCAGAUAUCAGGAGGAACACCGGUGGCGAAGGCGGAUCUCUGGGCCAUUACUGACGCUGAGGUGCGAAAGCGUGGGGAGCAAACAGG
RNAcentral lists this ribosomal RNA (253 nucleotides) under uncultured bacterium. RNAcentral's name for it is "partial 16S ribosomal RNA". It matches the Rfam family "Bacterial small subunit ribosomal RNA", at positions 524 to 776 of the family's 1533-position model. The record is from RNAcentral.